GACGAACGCUGGCGGCGUGCUUAACACAUGCAAGUCGAACGAUGAAGCCUUUCGGGGUGGAUUAGUGGCGAACGGGUGAGUAACACGUGGGCAAUCUGCCCUGUACUUUGGGAUAAGCCUUGGAAACGAGGUCUAAUACCGGAUAUGGAUGAGUCCUCGCAUGGGGGUUUGUUGAAAGUUCCGGCGGUACAGGAUGAGCCCGCGGCCUAUCAGCUUGUUGGUGGGGUAAUGGCCUACCAAGGCGACGACGGGUAGCCGGCCUGAGAGGGCGACCGGCCACACUGGGACUGAGACACGGCCCAGACUCCUACGGGAGGCAGCAGUGGGGAAUAUUGCACAAUGGGCGAAAGCCUGAUGCAGCGACGCCG
This 368-nucleotide ribosomal RNA is filed under the name uncultured bacterium. Its description in RNAcentral is "bacterial SSU rRNA". It matches the Rfam family "Bacterial small subunit ribosomal RNA", at positions 28 to 399 of the family's 1533-position model. The record is from RNAcentral.